Molecule: ribosomal RNA, 526 nt
Filed under: uncultured bacterium
Lineage: Bacteria
Description: bacterial SSU rRNA
Rfam family: Bacterial small subunit ribosomal RNA
Source: RNAcentral
CAUCCAGAGAACUUGGCAGAGAUGCCUUGGUGCCUUCGGGACCUCUGAGACAGGUGCUGCAUGGCUGUCGUCAGCUCGUGUUGUGAAAUGUUGGGGUUAAGUCCCCGNAACGAGCGCAACCCCUAUCCUUUGUUGCCAGCGAUUCGGUCGGGAACUCAAAGGAGACUGCCGGUGAUAAACCGGAGGAAGGUGGGGAUGACGUCAAGUCAUCAUGGCCCUUACGAGUAGGGCUACACACGUGCUACAAUGGCGCAUACAAAGAGAAGCGACCUCGCGAGAGCAAGCGGACCUCAUAAAGUGCGUCGUAGUCCGGAUCGGAGUCUGCAACUCGACUCCGUGAAGUCGGAAUCGCUAGUAAUCGUAGAUCAGAAUGCUACGGUGAAUACGUUCCCGGGCCUUGUACACACCGCCCGUCACACCAUGGGAGUGGGUUGCAAAAGAAGUAGAUAGCUUAACCUUCGGGAGGGCGUUUACCACUUUGUGAUUCAUGACUGGGGUGAAGUCGUAACAAGGUAAGCGUAGCGAG